AACGCACAUUGCGCCCGCCAGUAUUCUGGCGGGCAUGCCUGUCCGAGCGUCAUUUCAACCCUCGCGCCGUCCCUCCAGGGGGGCUCGGCGCGGUGUUGGGGGACACGGCCCCGGCCGCCCCCGAAAUGCAGUGGCGACCCCGCCGCGGCCCCUCCAGCGCAGUAAGCACGCUCGCUACGGGAGGCCCGGCGGACGCGUCCGCCGUGAAACGCCCAACUCUUCAGAAGUUGACCUCGGAUCAGGUAGGGAUACCCGCUGAACUUAA
This 265-nucleotide unclassified non-coding RNA is filed under the name uncultured Hypocreales. RNAcentral describes it as "sequence contains 5.8S rRNA gene, ITS2, 28S rRNA gene". The stretch from base 1 to 52 matches the Rfam family "5.8S ribosomal RNA", at positions 103 to 154 of the family's 154-position model. The record is from RNAcentral. Lineage: Eukaryota; Fungi; Ascomycota; Sordariomycetes; Hypocreales.